RNAcentral lists this ribosomal RNA (253 nucleotides) under uncultured bacterium. RNAcentral describes it as "partial 16S ribosomal RNA". It matches the Rfam family "Bacterial small subunit ribosomal RNA", at positions 524 to 776 of the family's 1533-position model. The record is from RNAcentral.
UACGGAGGGUGCAAGCGUUAUCCGGAUUUAUUGGGUUUAAAGGGUGCGUAGGCGGAUUAUUAAGUCAGUGGUGAAAGCCCCAGGCCUAACCUGGGAAUUGCCAUUGAUACUGAUGAUCUUGAGUACAUUUGAGGUAGGCGGAAUGUGUCAUGUAGCGGUGAAAUGCUUAGAUAUGACACAGAACACCGAUUGCGUAGGCAGCUUACUAAACUGUAACUGACGCUGAGGCACGAAAGCGUGGGGAGCAAACAGG